AGCAGACUGAACAGUCGCGUGUGCAAAGCCGAAAGGCUGUAUGCGAGGAAAGUCCGGGCUUCGCAGGGCAGAAUAACGGUUAACGACCGCCGGGGGUGACCCUAGGGAAAGUGCAACAGAGAUAUACCGCCGAUUAUUCGGUAAGGGUGGAAAGGCGAGGUAAGAGCUCACCGGCAUAAGCGAGAGUUUAUGACCCUGUAAACCCUAUUCGAAGCAACACCGUGGCUGGACGAUACGCUUGCCCGGCGUGUCCAAUGGAGGUGGCACUGAGCAGAUUCGGUAACGAUCUGCCAAGAUAGAUGACUGUUUACAACAGAACCCGGCUUAUAGGUCUGGUCA
Molecule: RNase P RNA, 339 nt
Filed under: bovine gut metagenome
Description: Bacterial RNase P class A
Rfam family: Bacterial RNase P class A
About the family: Ribonuclease P (RNase P) is a ubiquitous endoribonuclease, found in archaea, bacteria and eukarya as well as chloroplasts and mitochondria.
Source: RNAcentral